AUGAAAAGCUCUUCAGGUAUUACAAACAGUGACUUGGCCACAUCUGGACUUGGAGGUAUUCAGGUUCUUGCCACUCUAGUUACAACCUGGUUACUAGACAGGGCUGGCCGGCGCAUCCUACUCAUUAUAUCUUCUGCUGGGAUGACUAUAAGCCUUCUUGCGGUUGCCGUCAUAUUUUUUAUCAAGGACACUGUUUCACAAGACUCUCACUUGUAUUACAUAUUGAGCAUGGUCUCCUUGCUUGCUAUUGUGGCUUAUGUUAUCGCCUUCUCCUUCGGUAUGGGCUUCAUUCCAUGGGUCAUAAUGUCUGAGAUCCUCCCGGUUAGCAUCAAGAGUCUGGCGGGAAGCUUCGCGACGCUCGCCAACUGGCUGACUUCCUUUGGGAUAACGAUGACAGCAAACUUGCUGCUCAGCUGGAGUGCUGGAGGUACCUUUGUGUCCUAUAUGCUCGUGAGCGCCUUUACGCUCGUGUUCGUCAUCCUCUGGGUGCCGGAAACCAAGGGAAGAACCCUCGAGGAGAUACAGUGGUCAUUCCGCUGA
Molecule: ribosomal RNA, 540 nt
Filed under: Triticum aestivum (bread wheat)
Lineage: Eukaryota; Viridiplantae; Streptophyta; Magnoliopsida; Poales; Poaceae
Description: partial small subunit ribosomal RNA
Source: RNAcentral